RNAcentral lists this ribosomal RNA (497 nucleotides) under uncultured bacterium. RNAcentral's name for it is "partial 16S ribosomal RNA". It matches the Rfam family "Bacterial small subunit ribosomal RNA", at positions 28 to 507 of the family's 1533-position model. The record is from RNAcentral.
GAUGAACGCUGGCGGCGUGCCUAAUACAUGCAAGUCGAGCGAACAGACGAGGAGCUUGCUCCUCUGACGUUAGCGGCGGACGGGUGAGUAACACGUGGAUAACCUACCUAUAAGACUGGGAUAACUUCGGGAAACCGGAGCUAAUACCGGAUAAUAUAUUUAACCGCAUGGUUCAAUAGUGAAAGACGGUUUUGCUGUCACUUAUAGAUGGAUCCGCGCCGCAGUAGCUAGUUGGUAAGGUAACGGCUUACCAAGGCAACGAUGCGUAGCCGACCUGAGAGGGUGAUCGGCCACACUGGAACUGAGACCCGGUCCAGACUCCUACGGGAGGCAGCAGUAGGGAAUCGUCCGCAAUGGGCGAAAGCCUGACGGAGCAACGCCGCGUGAGUGAUGAAGGUCUUCGGAUCGUAAAACUCUGUUAUUAGGGAAGAACAAAUGUGUAAGUAACUAUGCACGUCUUGACGGUACCUAAUCAGAAAGCCACGGCUAACUACGUG